This 335-nucleotide long non-coding RNA is filed under the name Bos taurus (domestic cattle). RNAcentral describes it as "long non-coding RNA NONBTAT024293". Lineage: Eukaryota; Metazoa; Chordata; Mammalia; Artiodactyla; Bovidae. The record is from RNAcentral.
CCAAGCCUGAAGUGGAAGAAGUAAAGAUGAGGUGAACAGUUUAAAUGUAGAAACCACCAAGAUCUGUCAAAUUUCUGAAAACUGCCUGUUUUAUAUGAAUAUUAUAGAUUGGUCUGUUUCAUUUCCCUCUGCUUCAGCAAAAUAAAACAAACUAAUAAGAAAAAACCCUUCUUCACACAUACACACAAAUGUAAUGAAAGAAAGUAGGCUUCCUCUGUAUUUCUCUUGAUUUAUCUGUAUUCUUGAUAGGAUCCAAAACAGUCCUCAUUUAAUCGCUCACAGUCUUCUCUUCUCGUCCCACUGCCAAGCAACAGCCAAGGGAUAUUCUUUAAACC